CUCCUUUCCGUAUCCUUCCUGUCCAUAUAUUUCAGGCAACAGCGCCGCCUUCCACUUGUCACCACAGACCGUCGAAUUAUACCUUCAUAAUCCUCUUCCCAUCAUCUUUCCGAUCCUCAAGUUAGUUUCUACAAAUUCAUAGCCAAAUUUCUUCAAUUUCAGAUCUAAGAAACAUAUGAUUUUGUUCGGGUUUUGUGUGUUUUGCAGGUAUGAGAGCGGCGUACGGGUCGGCGAAGAGAGAAGUAGCAGUGGCGUCGAUGGGUGAUGAGGCCCGAGCUGGUGAUGAAGCCGAUUGUUUCUCUCGGUGACGCACGACACAAACGGUCUCGCCUCCGUCCUAUCCUCAUCUCGCUGCCGAUUCCCUUCUAUCGCCUCCGUCGCCAUUCUUAUCCUUUUUCCACCUACCUUAACUUGCUGUAGCUAACGAGACACGAUAGUCUUAGAGCUGUUGAACCCGUCCAGCUCCACCUCGAACUGCGGCGGCGUCCUCCAGCUCUGCUUCUUCACACGAGCCUGAGCUUAAAGGAGAUUGUGAAAAACUGCGCUCAGGUCCUCCCCAACGAAGCCGUCAAUGGACUCCUCGCCCAAGCAAAGCACAAAUCUUUGUGUUCUUCACUUCAGCCAGUUUCGUAUUACAGGGUCAGAUUUGAAUGGGGGAGUUGCUGCGAUUAUAGGAGAGCUUGAUCAUGGUGAUGCAGGUACAAGAAAAAUGGAUGCUUGGGGUACUUGGCGGGGCCAUUCAAAACAACCCAGUUGUUCAGAAGCAGGCAAUCAUUUUUUUACCCUCUCUAUACGCGAUGGCCACAUCGAAACCCAUCAACCACCAAAGCCACCCUGACCAGGUUGCCGACUCGAACAUGAGAAAAGAACUGUGCGGGUUCACUUAAAACCUUAAUAUUUGAUGUUCUUA
Long non-coding RNA from Pyrus x bretschneideri (Chinese white pear), 910 nucleotides. RefSeq lists it as uncharacterized. Lineage: Eukaryota; Viridiplantae; Streptophyta; Magnoliopsida; Rosales; Rosaceae. The record is from RefSeq and is a predicted model, not a curated record. The transcript is spliced from 4 exons.